GCAGCCCAUGGAGCCCAUAUUUUAAGCUUCGCCGCCGCAAUACAAAUUCUGCUUUCUAUCGGACUAAUACCAAGCCGUUGUUCCGCUUUAUAAUCAGUGCUAGGGUUUCUUGUUCCCCCUAUAAAUACCUACUUAAUCCAUUGUUAUACUCCCUCAACUCGAUUUUGUGUUCCAAGUUGUUCUACAAAUUAGGGUUCCCGGCUUUGCAGCCUUCGGUUUCGUAUUUGUCAUCAAGCGAAAUUUUGUCUUCCAGCUGGAUCAUCUCUGUAACAAUGCCUCCAUCAGAAGAUGUGGCACUUGUUGAAUCAUUACGCUUGUGUUCGCGCUCAGUGAAAUAUGCAGAAAUUUGCUGUUGCGUCUUUCCUCAACAUCGGUAGUCUCCAUCACCCAUCACUGAAGCCCGUUGCCGUCGAUGUCGCCACUGAAAUUUCUUGUAAUUGUUGCCUGUAAGACUUGAUUGUGAGCGUCUGCAGCCAUACAAUUUAGUAGAUGUUAUUCUAAAUGCUAUUUUGGAGGAAGUGUUCUCUGAUUCCUUUGUUGUAUAAUAUCAGGGUGUAUUCAAUUCAAGUUAAAUAAAUUAUUGUAACUAAAUUGUUCAAAA
Molecule: long non-coding RNA, 601 nt
Organism: Zingiber officinale
Lineage: Eukaryota; Viridiplantae; Streptophyta; Magnoliopsida; Zingiberales; Zingiberaceae
Exons: 2
Source: RefSeq, a predicted model, not a curated record